AUUGAACGCUGGCGGCAGGCUUAACACAUGCAAGUCGAGCGGAGCGAGGGUGCUUGCACCUUAGCUUAGCGGCGGACGGGUGAGUAAUGCUUAGGAAUCUGCCUAUUAGUGGGGGACAACAUUCCGAAAGGGAUGCUAAUACCGCAUACGCCCUACGGGGGAAAGCAGGGGAUCUUCGGACCUUGCGCUAAUAGAUGAGCCUAAGUCGGAUUAGCUAGUUGGUGGGGUAAAGGCCUACCAAGGCGACGAUCUGUAGCGGGUCUGAGAGGAUGAUCCGCCACACUGGGACUGAGACACGGCCCAGACUCCUACGGGAGGCAGCAGUGGGGAAUAUUGGACAAUGGGGGGAACCCUGAUCCAGCCAUGCCGCGUGUGUGAAGAAGGCCUUUUGGUUGUAAAGCACUUUAAGCGAGGAGGAGGCGCUCUAGGAUAAUACCCUAGAUGCGUGGACGUACUCGCAGAAUAAGC
RNAcentral lists this ribosomal RNA (468 nucleotides) under Acinetobacter sp. oral taxon C51. Its description in RNAcentral is "bacterial SSU rRNA". It matches the Rfam family "Bacterial small subunit ribosomal RNA", at positions 30 to 491 of the family's 1533-position model. Lineage: Bacteria; Pseudomonadati; Pseudomonadota; Gammaproteobacteria; Moraxellales; Moraxellaceae. The record is from RNAcentral.